Molecule: ribosomal RNA, 250 nt
Filed under: uncultured bacterium
Lineage: Bacteria
Description: partial 16S ribosomal RNA
Rfam family: Bacterial small subunit ribosomal RNA
Source: RNAcentral
UGAGGAAUAUUGGACAAUGGGCGAAAGCCCGAUCCAGCAACGCCGCGUGGAGGAUGAAGGCCUUCGGGUCGUAAACUUCUUUAGAGGGAGACGAGAAAGGACGGUAUCCCUAGAAUAAGCGACGGCAAACUACGUGCCAGCAGCCGCGGUAACACGUAGGUCGCGAGCGUUAUCCGGAUUUACUGGGCGUAAAGCGCUUGUAGGCGGUUCUGUAAGUCGGGCGUGAAAUCUCCGGGCUUAACUCGGAGUG